Molecule: ribosomal RNA, 810 nt
Filed under: Triticum aestivum (bread wheat)
Lineage: Eukaryota; Viridiplantae; Streptophyta; Magnoliopsida; Poales; Poaceae
Description: partial small subunit ribosomal RNA
Source: RNAcentral
AUGGCUGGUGCAAAAGGAGUGCAGCAACGCACCACCUCGGGUGGUUCCCAGUCGCGGCCAUCACAGGACGGCUCCCAGUCGCCGCCUCCGGAGGAGCAACGAGGGCGCAGCUGGUCCAGGCGCGGACAUCGUGGUGAGGUCGUGGUUAGGGAGAUCGUGCGCAAGACCGCAAUCAGCGAUAGCGUACCCAUCACCUUCCCGAUGCUCACGCGCUCAAACUACAGCGAGUGGGCGUUGAUCAUGGAGUGCAACCUCCAUGCGGCGAGCCUCUGGGUUCCCACGGAGGAUGACCUGGUCGAGAGAAAGGAGGACAGGAAAGUCGUGGCUGCACUCAUGCGCGCCACGCCGCCGGAGAUGCAUGGCAUGCUCGCGGUGAAGGCAAGCGCCAAGGAGGCAUGGGAAGCCAUCCGUACCCAGCGCCUCGGCAGCAACCGUGUGCGUGAGGCGAACACGCUGAAGCUGCGGGCAGACUUCAAGAACAUCGCCUUCAAGGAGGGCGAGCUCGUCGACGACUUCGCCAUGCAGAUCUCUAGCCUUGCGUCGCAGCUCCACGCGCUUGGCGACACCAUGGACGACGUGAGAGUCGUGCGGAAAUUUCUCCGCGUCGUGCCACCUCGCUUCGCUCAGGUAGCGGUCUCCAUCGAGACCUUGCUUGACCUGAGCAAGCUCUCCAUCGAGGAGCUCACGGGCCGGUUGCGGGUGGUCGCGGACCGCCUUGACAACGGCCGCGAGAGCUUCAGCGGCGGACAACUCCUAUUCUCGAAGAACUGGGAGGCGAGGAAGCGUCAAGGACAUGGUGGCGGUGCCUAG